UGGGGGUUAUUGCACAAUGGGCGAAAGCCUGAUGCAGCGACGCCGCGUGGGGGAUGAAGGCUUUCGGGUUGUAAACCUCUUUCGCUAUCGAACAAGGCCCGCUUAGGGUGGGUUGAGGGUAGGUGGAGAAGAAGCGCCGGCUAACUACGUGCCAGCAGCCGCGGUAAUACGUAGGGCGCGAGCGUUGUCCGGAAUUAUUGGGCGUAAAGGGCUUGUAGGCGGCUGGUUGCGCCUGCUGUGAAAACGCGGGGCUUAACUUCGCGCGUGCAGUGGGUACGGGCAGGAUUGAGUGUGGUAGGGGUGACUGGAAUUCCAGGUGUAGCGGUGGAAUGCGCAGAUAUCUGGAGGAACACCGAUGGCGAAGGCAGGUCACUGGGCCAUUACUGACGCUGAGGAGCGAAAGCAUGGGUAGCGAACAGG
This 420-nucleotide ribosomal RNA is filed under the name bacterium. Its description in RNAcentral is "partial 16S ribosomal RNA". It matches the Rfam family "Bacterial small subunit ribosomal RNA", at positions 355 to 776 of the family's 1533-position model. The record is from RNAcentral.